Non-coding RNA from Paramormyrops kingsleyae, 596 nucleotides. The record is from RefSeq and is a predicted model, not a curated record. NCBI's taxonomy places the organism in Eukaryota, Metazoa, Chordata, Actinopteri, Osteoglossiformes, Mormyridae.
AUGUAGACAUAUGUAGUCAAACAACUAUAAGGUACUGAAAAAUGUAAUGUUGUUGGUUUAGCUUGAAAGUGCAAAGGUAAAUCUGGACACAUUUAGUGUGGUGUUAAACUUAAAUGGGUUUGCUAUUUAAUAUUAAAGGUUAGAUUAAAAUGUAAUAUGAUUAUUCAAGUUUUAUCUAAAUACAAAUCUUGUGAAUUUGUUUUGGAAUGCAGUUUGGAAGAUUCUGGCACUCAUUUUGUUGAUCUUGGUAGUGUUACUCAUUGCUGUGUGGUGGUUUUGCAGCAAAUUGGUGGAGAAAUGCUUUUGAAAGUGCGACACCAAGAAAAACAGAAGUAUGUGAAGGUGACAGAGACUGAUGGGAUAUACUGUAUGAUUAUCAGCAGUUCAACCAAGCAGUCAAAGAAAAAUUUGGCUUGCCACAAGAUGCUGAAAUUAUUUACAAGGAUGAGUCAGGGACAGAAGUUGAUGAGGACAUCUUUGGAGAUAUUCUACAGAAAGGCGAUGAGGUUUUGUUGAGAGCUUAUUUGAAUGAUGGUAAUUUAUUAUCUACAUCAACCUGCUUUGGCAUUUUUCAUUAAUAGUCAUUAAAAACAGUU